CCCGAUGAGCCAGUGGAGUUGC
This 22-nucleotide non-coding RNA is filed under the name Drosophila melanogaster (fruit fly). Lineage: Eukaryota; Metazoa; Arthropoda; Insecta; Diptera; Drosophilidae. The record is from RNAcentral.